Molecule: ribosomal RNA, 415 nt
Filed under: uncultured microorganism
Description: bacterial SSU rRNA
Rfam family: Archaeal small subunit ribosomal RNA
Source: RNAcentral
GUGCAGCAGGCGCGAAACCUCCGCAAUGCGGGAAACCGCGACGGGGGGACCCCGAGUGCCGUGGCAACGCCACGGCUUUUCCGGAGUGUAAAAAGCUCCGGGAAUAAGGGCUGGGCAAGGCCGGUGGCAGCCGCCGCGGUAAUACCGGCGGCCCGAGUGGUGGCCGCUAUUAUUGGGCCUAAAGCGUCCGUAGCCGGGCCCGUAAGUCCCUGGCGAAAUCCCACGGCUCAACCGUGGGGCUUGCUGGGGAUACUGCGGGUCUUGGGACCGGGAGAGGCGGGGGGUACCCCUGGGGUAGGGGUGAAAUCCUAUAAUCCCAGGGGGACCGCCAGUGGCGAAGGCGCCCCGCUGGAACGGGUCCGACGGUGAGGGGCGAAGGCCAGGGGAGCAAAACCGGAUUAGAUACCCCUGUAGU